Molecule: small RNA, 253 nt
Filed under: Vigna angularis var. angularis
Lineage: Eukaryota; Viridiplantae; Streptophyta; Magnoliopsida; Fabales; Fabaceae
Description: Non-protein coding transcript
Source: RNAcentral
GUUAUAAUCUCCGUUGCUCUGGCUUUAUUCAAAUUAACAGAGAUAUAGCUCUAGGAGCAAGCAUCUCCCCUCUUUCCAAGUAUAACUCUUCCCAAUAUUAUAUCAGCAUCCUGGUCUGGAAGGACCCCAAAGAUGGUAACUGGUGGAUGAAGUAUGGAAGUGAUCAUGUUAUGGGAUACUGGCCAGCUUCUCUAUUCUCGCACCUUUCUGACAGUGCCUCAAUGAUUGAGUGGGGGGGAGAGGUUGUGAACUC